RNAcentral lists this ribosomal RNA (406 nucleotides) under uncultured bacterium. RNAcentral's name for it is "partial 16S ribosomal RNA". It matches the Rfam family "Bacterial small subunit ribosomal RNA", at positions 29 to 526 of the family's 1533-position model. The record is from RNAcentral.
AUUGAACGCUGGCGGCAGGCCUAACACAUGCAAGUCGAACGAGUGGCGGACGGGUGAGUAGUGUCUGGGAAACUGCCUGAUGGAGGGGGAUAACUACUGGAAACGGUAGCUAAUACCGCAUACCAUCGGAUGUGCCCAGAGGGGAUUAGCUAGUAGGGGGGGUAAAGGCUCACCUAGGCGACGCUCCCUAGCUGGGCUGAGAGGAUGACCGGCCACACGGGAACUGAGACACUGUCCAGAAUACUACGGGAGGCAGCAGGGGGGAAUAUUGCACAAUGGGCGCAAGCCGGAUGCAGCCAUACCGCGUGUAUGAAGAAGGCCUUCGGGUUGUAAAGUACUUGCCGCGGUGAGGCGUUACCCGCAGAAGAAGCACCGGCUAACUCCGUGCCAGCCGCCGCGGUAAUAC